GUUUACUUCCCUCCAAACUCCCAACUUUGACACUAUGCAAAAAGAAGAUUCCCCAUCACAUCAAACUUGCGGUACAUGCAUGGAGUACUAAAUAUAGACGAAAUCAAAAACUAAUUGCACAAUUUUGUUGUACUUUGCGAGACGAAUCUUUUGAGCUUAAUUAGUCAAUAUUUGGACAAUAAUUCACAAAUACAAACGAAACGCUACAAUGUCAUAUUUAUGGCAAAAUGCCAAUUUGACACCUCCCAACUUGAGAAGUAAACAAGGACCUGGAUGCGGUGAGCCUGGGUCUGGCUCAGCCCCAUACAUGACACCAAGGCCAUGUUUAGUUACUCCCAACUCCCAACUUUGACACUAUGCAAAAAGAAGAUUCCCCAUCACAUCAAACUUGCGGUACAUGCAUGGAGUACUAAAUGUAGAUGAAAUUAAAAACUAAUUGCACAGUUUUGUUGUACUUUGCGAGACGAAUCUUUUGAGCCUAAUUAGUCAAUAUUUGGACAAUAAUUCACAAAUACAAACGAAACGCUACAGUGUGCUACAGUGCUGUAACAGUAAUUUAGCACCCCCAAAUUCGCC
Molecule: long non-coding RNA, 576 nt
Filed under: Setaria italica (foxtail millet)
Lineage: Eukaryota; Viridiplantae; Streptophyta; Magnoliopsida; Poales; Poaceae
Description: long non-coding RNA (SITA_LNC000621)
Source: RNAcentral